AUACUUUCGAAAGAAAAAAAAUCUGUUCUUAUCAGUUUAAUAUCUGAUACGUCCCCUACCCGGGGACCAUAUAUUAAAUGGAUUUCUGGAACAGGGAGAUGGAAUAGGGGCUUGCUCCGUCCACUCCACGCAUCGACCCGGUAUUGCAGUAUCUCCAGGAACGGUGCACCCCCU
Molecule: small nuclear RNA, 174 nt
Filed under: Myripristis murdjan (pinecone soldierfish)
Lineage: Eukaryota; Metazoa; Chordata; Actinopteri; Holocentriformes; Holocentridae
Description: U2 spliceosomal RNA (ENSMMDG00005012875.1)
Rfam family: U2 spliceosomal RNA
About the family: U2 is a small nuclear RNA (snRNA) component of the spliceosome (involved in pre-mRNA splicing). Complementary binding between U2 snRNA (in an area lying towards the 5' end but 3' to hairpin I) and the branchpoint sequence (BPS) of the intron results the bulging out of an unpaired adenosine, on the BPS, which initiates a nucleophilic attack at the intronic 5' splice site, thus starting the first of two transesterification reactions that mediate splicing.
Source: Rfam by way of RNAcentral